GGCGAGAUGGCCGAGAGGUGCAAGGCACUAGAAUCGGGUGCACAAUAGUGACUGUCCUCCGGGGCGUGGGUUCGAAUCCUAUUCUCGUACG
Molecule: non-coding RNA, 91 nt
Organism: Marasmius oreades (fairy-ring Marasmius)
Lineage: Eukaryota; Fungi; Basidiomycota; Agaricomycetes; Agaricales; Marasmiaceae
Source: the annotation of a RefSeq genome assembly